Molecule: ribosomal RNA, 585 nt
Filed under: Shewanella sp. S1.3
Lineage: Bacteria; Pseudomonadati; Pseudomonadota; Gammaproteobacteria; Alteromonadales; Shewanellaceae
Description: bacterial SSU rRNA
Rfam family: Bacterial small subunit ribosomal RNA
Source: RNAcentral
CUACGGGAGGCAGCAGUGGGGAAUAUUGCACAAUGGGCGCAAGCCUGAUGCAGCCAUGCCGCGUGUGUGAAGAAGGCCUUCGGGUUGUAAAGCACUUUCAGCGAGGAGGAAAGCUUAAGCGUUAAUAGCGUUUAGGUGUGACGUUACUCGCAGAAGAAGGACCGGCUAACUUCGUGCCAGCAGCCGCGGUAAUACGAGGGGUCCAAGCGUUAAUCGGAAUUACUGGGCGUAAAGCGUACGCAGGCGGUUUGUUAAGCGAGAUGUGAAAGCCCCGGGCUCAACCUGGGAACUGCAUUUCGAACUGGCAGACUAGAGUCUUGUAGAGGGGGGUAGAAUUUCAGGUGUAGCGGUGAAAUGCGUAGAGAUCUGAAGGAAUACCGGUGGCGAAGGCGGCCCCCUGAACAAAGACUGACGCUCAUGUACGAAAGCGUGGGGAGCAAACAGGAUUAGAUACCCUGGUAGUCCACGCCGUAAACGAUGUCUACUCGGAAUUUGGUGUCUUGAACACUGGGUUCUCAAGCUAACGCAUUAAGUAGACCGCCUGGGGAGUACGGCCGCAAGGUUAAAACUCAAAGGAAUUGACGG